RNAcentral lists this transfer RNA (86 nucleotides) under subsurface metagenome. RNAcentral describes it as "tRNA-Leu". It matches the Rfam family "tRNA". From Rfam's summary of the family: Transfer RNA (tRNA) molecules are approximately 80 nucleotides in length. Their secondary structure includes four short double-helical elements and three loops (D, anti-codon, and T loops). The record is from RNAcentral.
UGCGGAUGUGGCGGAAUUGGCAGACGCGCAGGCUUCAGGUGCCUGUGGGCUUCGGCUCGUGGAGGUUCGACUCCUCUCAUCCGCAU